Molecule: ribosomal RNA, 519 nt
Filed under: uncultured eukaryote
Lineage: Eukaryota
Description: SSU rRNA
Rfam family: Eukaryotic small subunit ribosomal RNA
Source: RNAcentral
AGGGCACCACCAGGAGUGGAGCCUGCGGCUUAAUUUGACUCAACACGGGAAAACUUACCUGGUCCUGACACUAGAAGGAUUGACAGAUUGAUAGCUCUUUCUUGAUUUGGUGGAUGGUGGUGCAUGGCCGUUCUUAGUUGGUGGAGUGAUUUGUCUGGUUAAUUCCGAUAACGAACGAGACUCUAGCCUAUUAAAUAACACGCAGAAUCUUGUCUUCUGUGGCGUUUCUUAAUGGGAUCAAGUGUGUUUAACGCUUUGGAACAGAGCAAUAACAGGUCUGUGAUGCCCUUAGAUGUUCGGGGCCGCACGCGCGCUACAUUGAGAGACAAAAUGAGUUUUCUAGCCUUUAAUAAGGCUAGUAAUCUUUGAAUGUUUUUCUUAAUGGGGAUAGGGGAUUGCAAUUGUGCCCCUUGAACGAGGAAUUCCCAGUAAGUGCUAGUCAUUAGCUAGUACUGAUUACGUCCCUGCCCUUUGUACACGCCGCCCGUCGCUACUACCGAUUGAAUGGUUUAGUGAGAU